UACGUAGGUGGCAAGCGUUGUCCGGAAUUAUUGGGCGUAAAGCGCGCGCAGGUGGUUUCUUAAGUCUGAUGUGAAAGCCCACGGCUCAACCGUGGAGGGUCAUUGGAAACUGGGGAACUUGAGUGCAGAAGAGGAAAGUGGAAUUCCAAGUGUAGCGGUGAAAUGCGUAGAGAUUUGGAGGAACACCAGUGGCGAAGGCGGCUUUCUGGACGGUAACUGACGCUGAGACGCGAAAGCGUGGGGAGCAAACAGGG
This 254-nucleotide ribosomal RNA is filed under the name uncultured bacterium. Its description in RNAcentral is "partial 16S ribosomal RNA". It matches the Rfam family "Bacterial small subunit ribosomal RNA", at positions 524 to 777 of the family's 1533-position model. The record is from RNAcentral.